Molecule: long non-coding RNA, 554 nt
Organism: Dendroctonus ponderosae (mountain pine beetle)
Lineage: Eukaryota; Metazoa; Arthropoda; Insecta; Coleoptera; Curculionidae
Exons: 2
Source: RefSeq, a predicted model, not a curated record
CGAUGGGUGUGUUUGUAAUGCAAUUGAUUAGAACGUUGAUUGCACUGGUGGAGGACAACCAUAAUCGCCCAGAAAGUAAAAUAUGCAACCAUCAUGGGAGGUCUUCUGUGGUAGGCAUUUUUUUAUUGUCAACUUUGAAACACCGUAGCAGACGCACGAAUAUCAAAAGUGUCAGAAUCAUUGCAAAAUAUCGUCCAAACCUUUGAAAAUUGAAUAAAAAAUUAGGAACGGUUCAAGGGUUAUGAUUUUUCAAAUAAACCUCUGAUGCAUCCCUGUUUUUUACAAUAAAUGUGACAUAUGUCAAAAACCAUGACAGACAAGUGUUGACAAAUGGACGUGUUAAACCAUAGAACACCUCCGAACUGUUAAACUCAACAUUUAAUGCUGAUAUUAAUACAAAUAUGAUAUGAAAAUAGGGUCUUUCCAUAUGAAAAAGCUAUGAUAUGAUAUGAUGAUAUUUAGACUUGCAGCAGCCGAUUAUGGCUGCCUACCAAUUUUUAUUUCAUCCCAAAAAACUUUUUUUUUGUUGAUUAUUAAUAAACAAUACACAUAUG